CAAGCUCCUCACAUAUCAUCAUCCAGGGUACAGUCAUAUGCUGAUGAGGAGAUCCCAUGCAGGUGAAGGUGCUGCCCACCCAUGAUGCCAGCAAGGUGCGUGCAAGUGGAUCCGGCCUUAAAACCACUGGAGUGCCCAGCUCUCUGCCAGUGAAGUUCAACAUUGAUGGCAAAGAUGCAGGGACCGUGACAUGAGAGAUAUGGAAGGAUUGACUGAGGUGCAGAUACAGACCAUGACCAGGAGAGAAUGCUUCACCAGGACCAGUGAGAAGCAGGGACCAUCUGCAGGACAGCAGACAAACAACAGUGGGCUGCACCACUGGGC
Oreochromis niloticus (Nile tilapia) is the source of this 324-nucleotide long non-coding RNA. RefSeq lists it as uncharacterized. The record is from RefSeq and is a predicted model, not a curated record. NCBI's taxonomy places the organism in Eukaryota, Metazoa, Chordata, Actinopteri, Cichliformes, Cichlidae. The transcript is spliced from 3 exons.